UACGGAGAGGGCUAGCGUUGUUCGGAAUUACUGGGCGUAAAGCGUGCGCAGGCGGUUCUAUAAGACAGAUGUGAAAUCCCCGGGCUCAACCUGGGAACUGCAUUUGUGACUGUAGAGCUGGAGUGCGGCAGAGGGGGAUGGAAUUCCGCGUGUAGCAGUGAAAUGCGUAGAUAUGCGGAGGAACACCGAUGGCGAAGGCAAUCCCCUGGGCCUGCACUGACGCUCAUGCACGAAAGCGUGGGGAGCAAACAGG
This 253-nucleotide ribosomal RNA is filed under the name uncultured bacterium. Its description in RNAcentral is "partial 16S ribosomal RNA". It matches the Rfam family "Bacterial small subunit ribosomal RNA", at positions 524 to 776 of the family's 1533-position model. The record is from RNAcentral.